AUUUUAGUAAAAGUUUAUUAUAAGACUUUGAUGAGGUCUAGUUAUUAUAGUA
This 52-nucleotide transfer RNA is filed under the name Rhigonema thysanophora. RNAcentral describes it as "tRNA-Ile". The record is from RNAcentral. Lineage: Eukaryota; Metazoa; Nematoda; Chromadorea; Rhabditida; Rhigonematidae.